CCUACGGGAGGCAGCAGUGGGGAAUUUUGGACAAUGGGCGCAAGCCUGAUCCAGCAAUGCCGCGUGAGUGAAGAAGGCCUUCGGGUUGUAAAGCUCUUUUGUCAGGGAAGAAACGGUCUGUUCUAAUACAGCGGGCUAAUGACGGUACCUGAAGAAUAAGCACCGGCUAACUACGUGCCAGCAGCCGCGGUAAUACGUAGGGUGCAAGCGUUAAUCGGAAUUACUGGGCGUAAAGCGUGCGCAGGCGGUUUUGUAAGUUUGUCGUGAAAUCCCCGGGCUCAACCUGGGAAUGGCGAUGAAGACUGCAAGGCUAGAGUUUGGCAGAGGGGGGUAGAAUUCCACGUGUAGCAGUGAAAUGCGUAGAUAUGUGGAGGAACACCGAUGGCGAAGGCAGCCCCCUGGGUCAAAACUGACGCUCAUGCACGAAAGCGUGGGGAGCAAACAGGAUUAGAUACCCUGGUAGUCCACGCCCUAAACGAUGUCUACUAGUUGUCGGGUCUAAUUGACUUGGUAACGCAGCUACGCGUGAGUAGACCGCCGUGGGAGGUACGGUCGCGAAGAGUAAACGUUACAAUAGUUAAGUUAGUAGGCGNGAGAGNGCGACGGACGACGACGAGGGAGGAGG
This 625-nucleotide ribosomal RNA is filed under the name uncultured bacterium. RNAcentral's name for it is "bacterial SSU rRNA". The stretch from base 1 to 539 matches the Rfam family "Bacterial small subunit ribosomal RNA", at positions 338 to 873 of the family's 1533-position model. The record is from RNAcentral.